This 418-nucleotide ribosomal RNA is filed under the name uncultured bacterium. RNAcentral describes it as "bacterial SSU rRNA". It matches the Rfam family "Bacterial small subunit ribosomal RNA", at positions 29 to 486 of the family's 1533-position model. The record is from RNAcentral.
AACGAACGCUGGCGGCAUGCCUAACACAUGCAAGUCGAACGGGAUCCUAGCUUGCUAGGUGAGAGUGGCGGACGGGUGAGUAACACGUGGGAAUCUGCCUUUUGGUUCGGGAUAACCGCGGGAAACUGCGGCUAAUACCGAAUGCCCUCGAGAGAGGAAAGAUUUAUCGCCAGAAGAGGAGCCCGCGUCCGAUUAGGUAGUUGGUGGGGUAAAGGCCUACCAAGCCGACGAUCGGUAGCUGGUCUGAGAGGAUGAUCAGCCACACUGGGACUGAGAUACGGCCCAGACUCCUACGGGAGGCAGCAGUGGGGAAUAUUGGACAAUGGGGGCACCCUGAUCCAGCAAUGCCGCGUGAGUGAUGAAGGCCUUAGGGUUGUAAGCUCUUUUGCCAGGGAAGAUGAUGACUGUACCUGGAGAA